Molecule: ribosomal RNA, 247 nt
Filed under: uncultured bacterium
Lineage: Bacteria
Description: partial 16S ribosomal RNA
Rfam family: Bacterial small subunit ribosomal RNA
Source: RNAcentral
AUACGGAGGGUGCAAGCGUUAAUCGGAAUUACUGGGCGUAAGGCGCACGUAGGCUGUAGUGUAAGUCAGGGGUGAAAUCCCACGGCUCAACCGUGGAACUGCCUUUGAUACUGCACAACUUGAAUCCGGGAGAGGGUGGCGGAAUUCCAGGUGUAGGAGUGAAAUCCGUAGAUAUCAGGAGGAACAUCGGUGGCGUAAGCGCCUUACUGGGCCGUAAUUGACGCUGAGGAACGAAAGCCAGGGUAGC